Molecule: ribosomal RNA, 459 nt
Filed under: uncultured bacterium
Lineage: Bacteria
Description: partial 16S ribosomal RNA
Rfam family: Bacterial small subunit ribosomal RNA
Source: RNAcentral
CUACGGGUGGCACCAGUGAGGAAUAUUGCGCAAUGGACGAAAGUCUGACGCAGCCAUGCCGCGUGCAGGAUGACGGCGCUAUGCGUUGUAAACUGCUUUUAUAUGCCAAGAAACCUUCGGACGUGUCCGAAGCUGACGGUAGCAUAUGAAUAAGCACCGGCUAACUCCGUGCCAGCAGCCGCGGUAAUACGGAGGGUGCGAGAGUUAUCCGGAUUUAUUGGGUUUAAAGGGUCCGUAGGCGGAUCAUUAAGUCAGUGGUGAAAGCCGGCAGCUCAACUGUCGAACUGCCAUUGAUACUGGUGAUCUUGAAUACGGUUGAAGUUGGCGGAAUAGGUCAUGUAGCGGUGAAAUGCUUAGAUAUGACCUAGAACACCGAUUGCGAAGGCAGCCAACUAAGCCGUUAUUGACGCUGAGGGACGAAAGCGUGGGGAGCGAACAGGAUUAGAUACCCGUGUAGUC